AUUGAACGCUGGCGGCAGGCUUAACACAUGCAAGUCGAGCGGGGGAAGGUAGCUUGCUACCGGACCUAGCGGCGGACGGGUGAGUAAUGCUUAGGAAUCUGCCUAUUAGUGGGGGACAACAUCUCGAAAGGGAUGCUAAUACCGCAUACGUCCUACGGGAGAAAGCAGGGGAUCUUCGGACCUUGCGCUAAUAGAUGAGCCUAAGUCGGAUUAGCUAGUUGGUGGGGUAAAGGCCUACCAAGGCGACGAUCUGUAGCGGGUCUGAGAGGAGGAUCCGCCACACUGGGACUGAGGAACGGCCCAGACUCCUACGGGAGGCAGCAGUGGGGAAUAUUGGACAAUGGGGGGAACCCUGAUCCAGCCAUGCCGCGUGUGUGAAGAAGGCCUUAUGGUUGUAAAGCACUUUAAGCGAGGAGGAGGCUACUCUAGUUAAUACCUAGGGAUAGUGGACGUUACUCGCAGAAUAAGCACCGGCUAACUCUGUGCCAGCCGCCGCCGUAA
This 501-nucleotide ribosomal RNA is filed under the name uncultured bacterium. Its description in RNAcentral is "partial 16S ribosomal RNA". It matches the Rfam family "Bacterial small subunit ribosomal RNA", at positions 30 to 523 of the family's 1533-position model. The record is from RNAcentral.